GACAGAGGGUGCAAACGUUGCUCGGAAUUACUGGGCGUAAAGCGCGUGUAGGCGGACUGAUAAGUCAGAUGUGAAAUCCCCAGGCUCAACUUGGGAACUGCAUUUGAAACUGCCAGUCUUGAGUGAUGGAGAGGAUGGCGGAAUUCCUGGUGUAGAGGUGAAAUUCGUAGAUAUCAGGAGGAACACCGGUGGCGAAGGCGGCCAUCUGGAAAUCUACUGACGCUGAGACGCGAAAGCGUGGGGAGCAAACAGG
Molecule: ribosomal RNA, 253 nt
Filed under: uncultured bacterium
Lineage: Bacteria
Description: partial 16S ribosomal RNA
Rfam family: Bacterial small subunit ribosomal RNA
Source: RNAcentral